GGAAUCCACACAACUCUCACUGGUGACCUUUAGCACUUCGCCCGAGAGGAUAAAUUGCUUUUGUAAAUACUAUGGUAAAAACAAUGUCUCAUGACUUUCAGAAUGGUAAAAAGCUGCUAAAUAAGCAUCGCCAGAUCGUGUUUUCCUUCCCUUGCAUUGAACAACCAACUUGUUCGAAAUACAAAAGGCGCAUUUUCGACCCCAGAUCCUUCGCUUUCUUAACUGCUCGCGCCAUGCACAAAUGAGAAGAGCUCUGGGGUCGAGAAUGCUACAGGCGCGGUUACAGAGUUGUUCAUAAGACUUGACGCAUGCGUAAGCUCAGUAAACAUCGGCAAAAUCCAAGAUGGCGAUUUUGUCUGGCUGUCACUCCGAGGCACUGUUGUCGUGAACAUUUAUAAAGUUCUGUUCGCCCUCACGAGCUGAAAAAUGCAGAAUAGGAGAACGUUACAUCAGACUUUACAACAGAGGGUUUACGGUGGCUUUCCACCUGGCGCCAUAUUGAAGAGGGCUCGAGGAAGUAAAUAUCUAGUGCAGUGCUUGCAGAAAGAAACCAUUUUGACUGGACACGAGGGCUGUGUAAGUUUGGGGUGUACUUUGUGUUGUGUCUUGAAGUUAAUAAUGCACCUCUUCAAGAUUUUAACUGGAUUGGCCUCCAGUUGUUGAUGAAUCGAUGCCCACCUUAGUAUUAGAGAAAAUCAAUAAUAAUUGCUGGAUCAAGGGUGCAUUUUUUUUUUCAGCAAAUUUGGAAGUCCUCAAAUAAAUUUGCAAUAAAUAUGUGAAAUAUUAUUUACCGACUAAAUUUUAAGCUCCUAGUCCUGCCAGGAGGUUGUACACCUUGGGAGAAACGUGUACUGUAGAACUUUGCAGAAAAUGCCCCCCAUGGGAGGAAUUUUUUUUUUGGUCUGCUAGAAUCCCCCAUCCCCCUGGAAUUUUUAAUCCCAUUUGUGGGGAGUGGGUAUGAGGUUUUAACAAUAACAAUAGUUAUAUUUUCUGGAACUGCACAAUACAUGUAGAAGGAAUCCUGGCUAAUUGGCUAGUCGCUUUAUCAUACAAUGCACUUCAUCAUAAAUAUGUCAAUCUUAGCAGGCAUGCAGUGCCAAGAAAGUGAGAUGUAAUAUUACAUGUACGAUCUUUUAUCAUUAGCUUUCAGAGCUAGAGGUGACAGGCAAACAUCAACAUUACUGUUGUUAGAUCAAACUUUACUGAUAUUUUUAGGCUUACAAUGUAGUUAAUUUCAUGAGGGCCAUUCCCAAGUCUCCAUUUGAUAUCCACACUGUCACAUCACAUGUUGACAAAGUCACUGUAAAUCUAAAGCCUUUUUAAACUCAUCACAAAUAGAGCAAAGCAGUGCAACUGAUCCACAACAAUCAGCAGAAUAUACUACAACAAUUAUGCAAUGAACCAUAAACCCUUGCAAAACCCCUGAAGGCCACCCCACAGGUCACGUACUCCGCUGGCUGCAUAAGCUCAUAUAUAACUUGCCUAAAUGAUUUUAGCUGGAUGGGCAUGCUAGCUGGCUGCAUUAGCUCGAGUUUAACCUUGCCUAAAUGAUAUUUAGCCACAUGAAA
Long non-coding RNA from Orbicella faveolata, 1568 nucleotides. The record is from RefSeq and is a predicted model, not a curated record. NCBI's taxonomy places the organism in Eukaryota, Metazoa, Cnidaria, Anthozoa, Scleractinia, Merulinidae.